This is a long non-coding RNA of Gambusia affinis (western mosquitofish), 1653 nucleotides long. RefSeq lists it as uncharacterized. The record is from RefSeq and is a predicted model, not a curated record. The transcript has 3 exons. NCBI's taxonomy places the organism in Eukaryota, Metazoa, Chordata, Actinopteri, Cyprinodontiformes, Poeciliidae.
AAAAAAAAAAUCAACAAGAAGAAGAGUUUCGACUCCCAACCGGUUGCACUGAAUGUGAUGGACUUCUGACCUGCUAUGGAGGCCUCCCAGCAUCUCCAUCAUCACCUUCGUCUCCCAAUGAGCUCAGGUCCAUCGCUAUAGCAACUGGUUGCCACGGGCGACGAGACACAGCCAGCGCCAGCGAGCAUCUUCCCCUCAGUUGUUGUCGAAAGGCAGGGAGAGAAGAGAGAAAGGCGAGGCGCCAGCAGAGCGGCUGAGAGAGACACUGAAGAGCUUUCUGUCUUGGCAAAGUAAAACCCGCCAAAUGUUCAGGAAGAUGUAAAAACAACAAGCGGAUCAAGUCACCCGGAUUGCUCUACCUCUGCUUCCGUCUCCGGAGAAGCUGCGAGAAGAUGGUAACAACUUGUUCACACAGGAAAGUGUCGCUUCAGCUCUCAGCAUCGUUGGAGUUCAGGUGGUGACCCCGACGCCAAAAAAAAAACAAAAAGCAACCAGCUGCACCGGCACCCGACGGCACCGCCGCCGCCGCCUCUGCAGGUCGAGACGCCGACGAUGUGUGCAGACGCAGCGGGGGAGCCUGCUGUCACCACUGAUUGUUUAUGCCGGAAAAUAACAACCAAACCUGAAACAGAGCAAGAGACAAACAGCGUAAAAAAACAAAACAAAACAAAACACGGAUGGACAGAUGGAGGGAUGAGGAGAGGCAUUGACACCAAAACACUUCCUGCCAUCAGAUAAAUAGAUUUUAUCAACAGUGAGAUGAGACGCAGAGAGAGUAAUUACAGCAGUGAAGUAAAGCGAGAUGAAGUGUGGAGAGACAGAAAACGAGUCCAGAGCCUGACAUUAGAAAGUGAGAGCAGAAAACAUUCAACACCCUGCUGUCACUUUCACACUCUGAAUGUCUUCAUGAGCAGUGGGAGACAAAGAAGCAAAUAAACGAAUAGAUAAGAUCAGAAGUGCUGUCAUCAAGCCUUAAUGUUGAACACGUUUCUGGCAUUAAAAAAAGCUGACGGUAAUAGAUGGUUCUCAUGAUUCUCACAAUAAGAAUCAUCUGGACGGCGGCCAUGUUUGCUCCGACUCCAGCUUUUUUCUGUCCACUAUUAGCUCAGCAAUCAUCCUCCUGCGUCUGGACGCAGCUGGGCGCCGCUCCCUCUGCGCCGGCUGCUAAAUUGAAAAGCGGAGAGCAGAAAAACGUCCUAAUGUUCGGGCCGCUGUCUGUCCUCCUCUCCCUGCUCCCGCGCUUCCUGUGGGCAGCGUUGGUCUCUUGCUUGCUCCUGUCCGGCUUACCUGCUGGGGCGACUUAUUGACGAGCUGUCAGGCGUCACUGUGGCAACAAUCACUUCCUCUAGUUAGAAACACAUUCAGUGGUUGAGCUGAAGCUCUUCAGACACUAAGGAGCAGCGGAAAUCGAUGUGGCUGCUGAUUAAUGCGCUGUUUAAUUACAUUUUAUUAAAACAGUGCAACCGGGACGCUGGAUCCUGUUACCUUGGAGAUGUAUUCAGUUACCAACAAGAUUUUUACAUUUUGUCGCCUUACAAGCACAAAAUUCAGCUUAUUGGAAAUAAUUCUACAAAAACAUUUUACUUUAUGUUACUGCGACAGAGUACCACACUAAUACCAGAAAUAAGUCAUAAUAUUGUAAUAAUAAAUUUG